Lotus japonicus is the source of this 1534-nucleotide long non-coding RNA. RefSeq lists it as uncharacterized. The transcript has 4 exons. Lineage: Eukaryota; Viridiplantae; Streptophyta; Magnoliopsida; Fabales; Fabaceae. The record is from RefSeq and is a predicted model, not a curated record.
AUUCACAUAGACCCCAAAUGCAUUGCAGAAUGUUGUUGUUCAUUUCCUAAUUAUUGUAUUCCAUUCUAAAUAUUAUAAAUAAAUUGCUCUUUCUUUCGCUUUUUGGCAUCUUAUUCUGGAUGAUUUAUAUACUGAGAUGUCAACUGCCCUGUUCACAUUAGGUGGGAAGAUUCACUACCACUAGGUCUUCUAUUAACUAAUUGAACGUGCCUUAAUUUUUAUUAGAGUACAAUAGUAAUAGCUUAUGUAAGAAGCUUUGCUUCUAGUAUAAAUAUAGAAGUCAAGUCAUAGUUGUAACUACCCUUUUACAAUACAAUAACAGAUUCAGUUACAUUUUCUCUCUUUCUCUCUCUCUCUCUCUCUCUCUCUCUCUCUCUCUCUAACCCUUUCUGGUUUUCUGUUAAUUUUGAAUAGAUAAUGUAUUAAAUUUCAUUAUGUUAGGGAUACAAACAAUGAACUAUCACCAGGCUUCAUGGUUUUCUAUGCUAUCUAUGACAACGACUGUAGGCGAAAUCAUACUAUUGUAGACUCUAAUAGCAGAAAAUUGAGUUAGAUUUGUUAUACUCUAACAUUAUAAUCCAGGUUAAGUGAUGGUAGGACGCAUAGCAAUAUGUUUUUGGUUAAUUGGCUCUAGAGUUUGGGUGGUCACAGAGGUUCUAGUUGCAAUUCCCAAGUUCUGUGUGAGAGCUUCACUACUAGCACUGAUCAUGGGGAAAAGACGAUUAUAAGGAAAGAGAAAGGGGUGCUUGCUGAUGUGGGUUGUCUUCAGAGCAAUACUCUGGACCUUGCUUGAAAAAUGGAUAAGAAGACCAAUUGAGAAAAUGUCUAUUUGUAUGAUUCUGGAAUUUUGUGCUUAUCAACAGAUAGAUGGCCAAUGAAACACCUGAUGAAGUAGCAGCUAUGUGUGCCCAUGUGAUACUGAGAUCAAAAUCAAUAUUCAAUGCCAGUAAGAUGUUGAAAAAAUUGGUGAGUAGUAUAACAAUAAGCUUUAAUCGGUAAAGUGAUAGUGUUUUUGUGAAACAUGAAUUAUUGGUGUGCCUCUAAGAUAAACAUUGAUUCCGUCUCUAUAUGUAUAUGUAGGGGAUGAUGGAUUCCGGAUUCUGUAUAAGCGUAGCUAUAUAAAAUGGUAGAAGACAUUAAAUCUAAAAUAUAGCUUGGUUGCAAGUUUGAUAGUUUAGAAGUUUCAUUCACUUAAUAUAUUUUUUUGGCACGGCCCUAAUUUGCAUUGUGUUUUGUCGCUGAUUGGGAACAUUGCACUUGGCCACAAUUUACUAUCAAUCCACAUGUUAUUUUUUAUUAACUGGUUAUAAUGAUUGUUACAACUUGAACAUAGAAAGGGAGCAAAAUGUUUAUCAUAAUUAAGAGAAUCUUAUAUAGUGCAUGGGGUAGUGUUCAGAGUUGAAACGAACCGGUAACUAUCUCGCUAUGUAAUUGGUAGCAUUGUUCAGAAUUUCAUAUCUAAUCUAACAUGCAUACAUGUUCAGAAUUUCAUAUCUACACUAUCAAUCCACAUGACAUUUACACGACAAAUGUA